AAAACGCUAAUCUGUUAGAUGAACUCGACUCGGCUGAUGAUAAAAAAAACAUCACUGGGUUCAGUUUGUCCAAUGGUUUUAGCUAAAA
Non-coding RNA from Tribolium castaneum (red flour beetle), 88 nucleotides. The record is from RefSeq and is marked provisional. Lineage: Eukaryota; Metazoa; Arthropoda; Insecta; Coleoptera; Tenebrionidae.